This 253-nucleotide ribosomal RNA is filed under the name uncultured bacterium. Its description in RNAcentral is "partial 16S ribosomal RNA". It matches the Rfam family "Bacterial small subunit ribosomal RNA", at positions 524 to 776 of the family's 1533-position model. The record is from RNAcentral.
UACGGAGGGGGCUAGCGUUGUUCGGAAUUACUGGGCGUAAAGGGCGUGUAGGCGGCUUGCCAAGUCAGGCGUGAAAGCCCCGGGCUUAACCUGGGAACUGCGUUUGAGACUGGCAGGCUAGAGGUUGGAAGAGGAGAGUGGAAUUCCCAGUGUAGAGGUGAAAUUCGUAGAUAUUGGGAAGAACACCGGUGGCGAAGGCGGCUCUCUGGUCCACACCUGACGCUGAGGCGCGGAAGCGUGGGGAGAAAAUAGG